GGCGCUUUGGGAGGGACCUGCGUCCCAUCAGCUAGUUGGUGAGGUAACGGCUCACCAAGGCUACGACGGGUAGGGGGCCUGAGAGGGUGGCCCCCCACAAUGGAACUGAAACACGGUCCAUACACCUACGGGUGGCAGCAGUUGGGAAUAUUGCACAAUGGGCGAAAGCCUGAUGCAGCAACGCCGCGUGAGCGAUGAAGGCCUUCGGGUCGUAAAGCUCUUUUCUGGGAGAUGAGAAAGGACAGUAUCCCAGGAAUAAGUCUCGGCUAACUACGUGCCAGCAGCCGCGGUAAAACGUAGGAGGCAAGCGUUAUCCGGAUUCACUGGGCGUAAAGCGCGUGCAGGCGGUUUGGUAAGUUGGGCGUGAAAUCUCCCGGCUCAACUGGGAGGGGUCGUUCAAUACUACCGGACUUGAGAGCGAUAGAGGAAAAUGGAAUUCCCGGUGUAGUGGUGAAAUGCGUAGAUAUCGGGAGGAACACCAGUGGCGAAAGCGAUUUUCUGGAUCGUUUCUGACGCUCAGACGCGAAAGCUAGGGUAGCAAACGGGAUUAGAG
Molecule: ribosomal RNA, 553 nt
Filed under: uncultured bacterium
Lineage: Bacteria
Description: bacterial SSU rRNA
Rfam family: Bacterial small subunit ribosomal RNA
Source: RNAcentral